Molecule: ribosomal RNA, 962 nt
Filed under: Chandlerella quiscali
Lineage: Eukaryota; Metazoa; Nematoda; Chromadorea; Rhabditida; Onchocercidae
Description: 16S ribosomal RNA
Source: RNAcentral
UUAGUUUUUUUAAUUUUAUUUUUUGGUAUUGCAUAUCAGUAAAAGUUAUUAUCAUAAUUUAUGAAAAAUAGAAAUAAAAUGUCGAAGUGUGAUUUUUUUUGUUUUUACAAAAUAAAUGAUAUUGUCAUUUUGCAUUGAUAUUACGUAUUUUUAUUUCUGUUUGUUUUUUUUUAUUGUUAAGUUAUAUUUUAAGAGAGGGUUUGAUUUAUAAUUUGUUUUUUUAAAAAAUGUUUUAUUAUUUUGAUUUUUUUUUCUUUUUUUGUAUUUUUUUGAUUAAUGUUUUAAUUAAUUUUUAAUUUUUACUUUAGUAGAUUUUGAAUUUUUUAUAAUUUUAUUUUUUGAUUUUAUUUUUUGAACUAAAUUUGUUGUUAAAUGUUUAUUAAAAACUUAGGUUUUUAUAUAAAGUUGUCUUCUGCUCUAUGAAAUUUUAAAUGGCAGCCUUAGCGUGAUGGCAAAAAAGUAGCGUAAGUGAUUUGUUUUUUUAUUGUUUUCAAGUAUGAAUGGAGUUUUUAACAAUUUUUUUAAAUAUUUUUUUUUUGAAUUAUUUUUUUUAUUAAAAAUUAUAAGUUAGAUUACUACAAAGAUAAGUCUUCGGAAAUUUUUUUUUAUUUUUUUAAAGUUGUUUAUUAAUAUAAAUUUUUCUUGGGGUUGGAUUUUAGAAAAUUGUUAUUCUAUUAUUAAUUUUUAAAAUUACUCCGGAGUUAACAGGGUUGUGGACAUAUAAAUAGAUUUUUAUAUUAUUAUGCUGCGCUACAUCGAUGUUGUAUAUUUUUUGUAAAAAGUGAGAGAGUUUUUUUUUUUUGAGACUGUUCUUCUUAUAUAAAAAUUAAACUUGAUAUUAGUUUAGUUCGUCGUGAGACAGAGCGGUUUAUCUUGUGUAUUUUUUAUUUUUGUUGGAGUUAGUACGAAAGGAAAAUUAUAAGGGUUAAUAUUUAUGACUUUUUUAUUUGUAUAGAAUUUUU